UACGUAGGGUGCGAGCGUUGUCCGGAAUUACUGGGCGUAAAGAGCUCGUAGGUGGUUUGUCGCGUUGUUCGUGAAAACUCACAGCUCAACUGUGGGCGUGCGGGCGAUACGGGCAGACUGGAGUACUGCAGGGGAGACUGGAAUUCCUGGUGUAGCGGUGGAAUGCGCAGAUAUCAGGAGGAACACCGGUGGCGAAGGCGGGUCUCUGGGCCGGAACUGACGCUGAGGAGCGAAAGCGUGGGGAGCAAACAGG
This 253-nucleotide ribosomal RNA is filed under the name uncultured bacterium. RNAcentral describes it as "partial 16S ribosomal RNA". It matches the Rfam family "Bacterial small subunit ribosomal RNA", at positions 524 to 776 of the family's 1533-position model. The record is from RNAcentral.